RNAcentral lists this small nuclear RNA (132 nucleotides) under Tricholepidion gertschi. RNAcentral's name for it is "partial U2 snRNA". It matches the Rfam family "U2 spliceosomal RNA", at positions 25 to 155 of the family's 192-position model. Rfam says of the family: U2 is a small nuclear RNA (snRNA) component of the spliceosome (involved in pre-mRNA splicing). Complementary binding between U2 snRNA (in an area lying towards the 5' end but 3' to hairpin I) and the branchpoint sequence (BPS) of the intron results the bulging out of an unpaired adenosine, on the BPS, which initiates a nucleophilic attack at the intronic 5' splice site, thus starting the first of two transesterification reactions that mediate splicing. Lineage: Eukaryota; Metazoa; Arthropoda; Insecta; Zygentoma; Lepidotrichidae. The record is from RNAcentral.
GAUCAAAGUGUAGUAUCUGUUCUUAUCAGCUUAAUAUCUGAUACGAUGUGCAUUGCACAUCCAGAAUAUUAAACUGAUUUUUGGAUUUUGGCGGAGUGUUAGGGGCUUGCUCCACCUCUGCCGCGGGUUGGC